UAGGGAAUCUUCCGCAAUGGACGCAAGUCUGACGGAGCAACGCCGCGUGAGUGAAGAAGGAUUUCGGUUCGUAAAACUCUGUUGUUAGAGAAGAACAGCGCAUAGAGUAACUGUUAUGCGUGUGACGGUAUCUAACCAGAAAGCCACGGCUAACUACGUGCCAGCAGCCGCGGUAAUACGUAGGUGGCAAGCGUUGUCCGGAUUUAUUGGGCGUAAAGCGAGCGCAGGCGGUUAGAAAAGUCUGAAGUGAAAGGCAGUGGCUCAACCAUUGUAGGCUUUGGAAACUGUUUAACUUGAGUGCAGAAGGGGAGAGUGGAAUUCCAUGUGUAACGGUGAAAUGCGUAGAUAUAUGGGGGAACACCGGUGGCGAAAGCGGCUCUCUGGUCUGUAACUGACGCUGAGGCUCGAAAGCGUGGGGAGCGAACAGG
Molecule: ribosomal RNA, 428 nt
Filed under: Bacteroidota bacterium
Lineage: Bacteria; Pseudomonadati; Bacteroidota
Description: Bacteroidetes bacterium partial 16S ribosomal RNA
Rfam family: Bacterial small subunit ribosomal RNA
Source: RNAcentral